RNAcentral lists this ribosomal RNA (375 nucleotides) under Kurixalus appendiculatus (Philippine flying frog). RNAcentral's name for it is "partial 12S ribosomal RNA". It matches the Rfam family "Bacterial small subunit ribosomal RNA", at positions 863 to 1405 of the family's 1533-position model. Lineage: Eukaryota; Metazoa; Chordata; Amphibia; Anura; Rhacophoridae. The record is from RNAcentral.
CCCAUAGCGCCAGGGAAAUUACGAGCUUUAGCUUGAAACCCAAAGGACUUGACGGUGUCCCACCCAACUAGAGGAGCCUGUCCUAUAAUCGAUGAUCCACGCUUUCACCUUACCAUUUUUUGCUUUCUCAGCCUGUAUACCUCCGUCGCAAGCUUACCAKAUGAACGAAUCAAAGUAGGUUUAAGGACUUAUCGCCAAUACGUCAGGUCAAGGUGCAGCUUAUAAAAUGGGUAGAGAUGGGCUACAAUCUCUAAACUAGAACAAACGAAAAACUACAUGAAACAUAGUCAUGAAGGAGGAUUUNACAGUAAAKARGAAAUAUAGAGUCUKAUUGAACUUGGCCCUGGGACGYGUACACACCGACCGUCACCCUCA